CCCUUAGAUGUUCUGGGCUGCACGCGCGCUACACUGACACACUCAGCGAGUCUCCUGACCCGAGAGGGUUGGGUAAUCAUGUGAGCGUGUGUCGUGAUGGGGAUAGAAUAUUGUAAUUAUUGCUCUUCAACGAGGAAUUCCUAGUAAGCGCGAGUCAGCAGCUCGCGCUGAUUACGUCCCUGCCCUUUGUACACACCGCCCGUCGCUCCUACCGAUGGGGUGAUCCGGUGAAUGAUUCGGACUUCCGCGUUGCUAGCUACUAGUUUCGCGGAAGAAAGUCUUGUGAACCUUAUCACUUGGAGGAAGGAGAANUCGUAACA
RNAcentral lists this ribosomal RNA (320 nucleotides) under uncultured eukaryote. Its description in RNAcentral is "partial 18S ribosomal RNA". It matches the Rfam family "Eukaryotic small subunit ribosomal RNA", at positions 1470 to 1796 of the family's 1831-position model. The record is from RNAcentral.